RNAcentral lists this ribosomal RNA (138 nucleotides) under uncultured eukaryote. RNAcentral's name for it is "partial 18S ribosomal RNA". It matches the Rfam family "Eukaryotic small subunit ribosomal RNA", at positions 1299 to 1458 of the family's 1831-position model. The record is from RNAcentral.
UGGUGGAGUGAUUUGUCUGGUUAAUUCCGAUAACGAACGAGACCUUAUCCUGCUAAAUAGUGAGGCCAACUUCAGUUGGUCGCCCACUUCUUAGAGGGACUAUCGACGUUUAGUCGAUGGAAGUUUGAGGCAAUAACA